Molecule: transfer RNA, 57 nt
Filed under: Ictidomys tridecemlineatus (thirteen-lined ground squirrel)
Lineage: Eukaryota; Metazoa; Chordata; Mammalia; Rodentia; Sciuridae
Description: Spermophilus tridecemlineatus (thirteen-lined ground squirrel) tRNA
Rfam family: tRNA
About the family: Transfer RNA (tRNA) molecules are approximately 80 nucleotides in length.
Source: Rfam by way of RNAcentral
UGGCUCAAUGAUAGAGCACUUGCCUGGCAUGUAUGAGGCACUGAGUUCUAUUCUCAG